AGUUUGACCAUGGCCAAACAGGAACAGGAGGGCUUCAAAUUGAAACCUUGUAUGUUACAAACACGGAAUGAGCAGUUCGUAAAAGGGGACUUCCGCCUUUGGUGAGCACCGCCCCCAAGCAGCUGGAACCUAUGAAAAUGGAGAGCUACUGAAUGUAAUGACGUCAUGACAGCGGGAGAAUCAAGCAUGGUGCUGUACACAAAUAGAAGCUUCUCUCCAUUCUUCAGUAAAAUAUCUCACGAUUAGACUGAGCGCUACAUGUUCAUGUAUUAACAGGUAAAGAUAAGCUACUUUCAUUCCAAAUACAUCUAGAGUUUGCUAAUCGUAAAAAUGUUAUAUCCGAAACAAUAUUCUGCAUUCAGCAGUAUUUCUACAGAUAACUGAAAUGCUUUUGUAACCGUACGAGAUCCCGUGAUUUUACUUAUACCAAAAAAUAAUGAGUGCACGUGGUCAUUUUUGAAAUAACUCAUCACAUUGAUUAAUCUUGUGACACAAAGGCAGGGUGGUUGAACAGGGUUAGCUCUUUCAUAAAGAAAUUGAAACAAAGAGACUGCUUUAGAUUAUCUGAUGCUGAAAUUAAUAUGAUGAAACGUGUAAGUGAAAAUAGUUAGGUGAGUGAUGAACGCAUGGCAAUGAUUUUCGGUACAGUUCGAAAAUAGGGUAUCCAAAGGUGCAAAGCUGAUUGUUAGAUGCUGCUAUUCAGAGAAACAUUAAACCCAUGUUGAUUUUUGCAAUGAAGUAUUUAAUUAAAACCAGUAAAGGUACUCAUUUCCAAAAUAAAAAAGUCUUAAUAUC
Anguilla anguilla (European eel) is the source of this 795-nucleotide long non-coding RNA. RefSeq lists it as uncharacterized. The record is from RefSeq and is a predicted model, not a curated record. The transcript is spliced from 2 exons. NCBI's taxonomy places the organism in Eukaryota, Metazoa, Chordata, Actinopteri, Anguilliformes, Anguillidae.